GAGCGUUCUGUCUGCUCCAGCCCAGGGAGGCACGGCCUCUGGGGGUGUGCCCUUUCCUCACAGAUCUCAUGAUCUUACUGGACAGAGACGCACACGGACAGACACUGUGCCGGGAGACUGGAGCCAGAGCUGUCCUGGAAGAGCGGGGGUGACCUCCCAGAGAGGGGACACUUUGAGAAAUGACAAGGAAUUUUCCAGGCUAAGAAGGAGCCAGCUUCUAGGUGCAAAAGGAGAAUGGUCAUGCCAUCUUAUCUCCCAUCCUCCCAACACCCACUCAAAUCACAUGGGAGAGGUUCCUUCAUCGAAAUAGGAGGGGACUUCAGAAAGUCUGUGGAAAAAUGGAAUUAAAAGUGCUCUGUGUGUAAAACCACAAGGUUGAAGAGAAAGGCAAGGAGAGCAAGAGGAGCAACAGGAUUUCAAAGUUGGGAAGCACGUGGAAAAGCGGAAACCAACUCAGUCAAGCCCAGGCAGCUGAACUCCAAGCUGGCGACUUCCAGGAAACUUUUCCCCGGGGAUCCAGCCAGCCCGAGAGGAAAAGAACUACAGAGACCUACUCGGCAGUCCCAACAGCGGUGACCAGGCCACCCACAGGGAGACCCCCAUCUCCAGGCUCUCCUACCUGCUCAGAAUGUCUCGUCAGUUUUGUGGUGCCUCACUCACGAUCACUACCUGCCGGCCAGAUUCUAACACAGCUGAGGGAAGCCUGUCAUGCUAAUUAAAGACCAAACAAAACAGAAAGACAGCAAGCUGGAAGAAACACAGAACGACGCGUGGAGGAGGAAACUUUUAGAAUAAAACUACCACCAACAGUCUCUGAGAGCGAAGGGAAGAAGCUGCACUCAUGAGAAGAGCAAAGACUAGGAGAGAGGGACAGAAGCAGCUCCUGGGAAAUUAAACCUCAAUGGAAGAGCUGAAAGACAAAACUGAGGAAGUCUCCCAGAGUGUAGAGCAAAAAGACAAAUAGACGAAAGGACGAGAAAACAAGGGAACAAGCCCAGGAGAUCAGAAAUCCAGCAAGAGCAGAGCAAACAGGAGGAAGAAGUCAAUGUCAGAGCAGAGUAUCGAGUUUCCCAGGACCAGCCGCUCUCGGUUUCCAACUGAAGGCAUCAGAGCGUGCCCUGGGACGGGGAGACCCACAUCAAAACACACGCUAUGAAACAUUAGGACACUCACAAGCUUCCAGGGAGAAAGGCCAGUCACGUGCAAAGAAUGAGGAUACAAGUGUGUUACAGCUCCCGACAGCAGCAUGGGAAGCAAGAAGAAGGUGGUAGAGCAAUGUCUUUUAAAAUUCUGAAUGGAGGAGCCGGCAUUGUGGCUUAGCAGGUAAAGCACUGCCUGCGACAUCGGCAUCCCGUGUGAGCACCAGUCAAGUCCUGGUUGCUCCACUUCUGAUCCCGUUCCCUGAUAAUGCACCUGGGAAAGCAGCAGAAGGUGGCUGAAGCGCUUGGGCCCCUGCACCCACAUGGGAGACCUGGAAGAAGGACCUGGCUCGUGGCUUUGGUCUGGCCCAGCCCUGGCCAUUGCCGCUAUUUGGGGAAUGAACCAGUGGAUGGAAGCACUCUCUCUCUUCCUCUCCCUCUCCUUCUCCCUCUCUCUCUGCUUCUCCCUUUCUCUCUGUAACUCUGCCUUUCAAAUAAAUUAAUUAAUUAAAAAAAUAAAA
Molecule: long non-coding RNA, 1660 nt
Organism: Oryctolagus cuniculus (rabbit)
Lineage: Eukaryota; Metazoa; Chordata; Mammalia; Lagomorpha; Leporidae
Source: RefSeq, a predicted model, not a curated record